UUGGAANUGGGCGCAGCCUGAUCCAGCAAAUGCCGCGUGAGUGAAGAAGGCCUUCGGGUUGUAAAGCUCUUUUGUCAGGGAAGAAACGGUCGUGGCUAAUAUCCAUGGCUAAUGACGGUACCUGAAGAAUAAGCACCGGCUAACUACGUGCCAGCAGCCGCGGUAAUACGUAGGGUGCAAGCGUUAAUCGGAAUUACUGGGCGUAAAGCGUGCGCAGGCGGUUUUGUAAGUCUGUCGUGAAAUCCCCGGGCUCAACCUGGGAAUUGCGAUGGAGACUGCAAGGCUAGAAUCUGGCAGAGGGGGGUAGAAUUCCACGUGUAGCAGUGAAAUGCGUAGAGAUGUGGAGGAACACCGAUGGCGAAGGCAGCCCCCUGGGUCAAGAUUGACGCUCAUGCACGAAAGCGUGGGGAGCAAACAGGAUUAGAUACCCUGGUAGUCCACGCCCUAAACGAUGUCUACUAGUUGUCGGGUUUUAAUUAACUUGGUAACGCAGCUAACGCGUGAAGUAGACCGCCUGGGGAGUACGGUCGCAAGAUUAAAACUCAAAAAAAUUGACGGA
RNAcentral lists this ribosomal RNA (559 nucleotides) under uncultured bacterium. RNAcentral describes it as "bacterial SSU rRNA". It matches the Rfam family "Bacterial small subunit ribosomal RNA", at positions 364 to 917 of the family's 1533-position model. The record is from RNAcentral.